GCAUACGUGAUGCAUGGAAAUAAUUUGGAUUGGUAAAUAUAGCCCUUUCUUGUGAACUGCUCAUUAAUUGCAAUAUUCAACAGAGGUGAAAUUCAACAGAAAUUCAAAGUCAACAGAGAAACAGAAUAACAACUGGUUGCAUCAGGAAGCUGGAUGCAAAUCUGAGCUCACAUCAGCUUUUACUGUUUCCACAACAGUCUCCUAUAGAUAAAUUUAGUCCUUUGACCUUCCUAUAUCUUCAAACGUCUAUUUGUUUUUAUAAUUACUUUUAAGAAGGCUAAUAAGAUACAGCUAAAAAUACCCCCCGCCCCCCAAACCAGCCAGUCUUUCAGUCUUUCAGUCGAUUUCUGAUGGUAUUGCAGCUCCUCUGCUACCAGAACAAAAAUGAUUAACAAUUGUUUUGAUUGUCUCAAAUGUUUAGGCUCACAAGUGCUGUUUCAAAAGCAAUGCUUGUUACAUUUCUGUGUUAAAUAAGGUAUUUAAAAAAAAAAGUUUUAGUUCACAGACUAAUCGACUGAUUUUGGAUUAUGGCUAUGAUUUCUAAAGAAUCCAACAGGCAUUGUUUAGUACUGUAAUCUGGAGGUCUGUAUAUUAAAACAAGUCUGUAUGUUGACUUAGUGCCUCAACUUUUAAUACCAGAAACACGUUCAGGCAGGCUCGGUAUAUACUGCAUGUGUAAAUAUUGUUUCUUAUGUAGAGUACGUUAAUACUCCCACCAGCAUUACUGUUAGGCAAGAUAAUGAUUCAUGAUGAGUCUACACAUAUCCAUUAUCCAUGCUCAGGUGGUAGAGCAGGUUGUUCACUAAUUGUAGGUAGGGAUGUCACGAGAACCGAUACUUCGGUACCAACAUUCUUAAAACGUGACGGUACUUGUUUUUCUGCAGUUCUGUUGGUCUCGGGUGUAACGAAAGUACCUAAAGUUCCGAGGUUGCGACUUUUCAGAACCUGAAGGGGGCAGCAAAUACGCGCAAGUGUUUCAGUCCGGCCACGAGUGGUAAAGAAGAAGAACUACGCACACGGGAAAAACUACAAAAGUUUUCCCCGUGUGUAUCUUUGUUUUUCUAUACCUUGCAUUCGAGGCGGAUAAAAACGGACAUAUAAUUGAUGCUCUGAAGCCGGUGUGCAAACGAUGCCAUCGUACACUUCAAACAAAGGGAGGAAACGCCUCGAAUUUGGCGAAGCACCUGAAAGACAGGCACCACAGUCUCUUCAAAGACUUCAAGUAUCAGCCAGAGGAGGAUGUCCAACAGGAGAGUCGGGAGCAAAGUCAGCAAACAUUAACACAGCCAACCUUAAGAGAAGCUUAUAAAAGGCACAGAAAAUAUGACAAAAACUCAAGCGAAGAAAGGAAACUGGAUAGGGCAGUUGCUGAAUGCAUAUGCAUGGAUCAAGUUAGAAAAAGCAUGGAUUCCAGCAAAUGCUUCAGCAGUUCAACCCCAGAUACUACCCCAGAAAUUACUUCAUGUAUACAGAGAUCCCCAACCUAUACACCAAAACCAGAGACCUCAUUUCAGAACAUCUCCAAGAAAAACCAUUUUAUGCCUACAUAUUUAUUAUAUAUCUAUUUUGUAAUUGCUUUUUUAUUAUUAUUAUGACUGUUGCCACUAUCAUUUUUUUGCAGUGCUCAAAUGUUUAAAUAAAGGAAUUAAUGUUUAA
Molecule: long non-coding RNA, 1656 nt
Organism: Ictalurus punctatus (channel catfish)
Lineage: Eukaryota; Metazoa; Chordata; Actinopteri; Siluriformes; Ictaluridae
Exons: 2
Source: RefSeq, a predicted model, not a curated record